Long non-coding RNA from Gymnodraco acuticeps, 166 nucleotides. RefSeq lists it as uncharacterized. The record is from RefSeq and is a predicted model, not a curated record. The transcript is spliced from 3 exons. Lineage: Eukaryota; Metazoa; Chordata; Actinopteri; Perciformes; Bathydraconidae.
GGUUCCUCACGGACCUGCCCAGGUAUCACCGGUCUGAACGGACGGUCAGGGAAAAGGGGGCAAGAGGGUACAGACGGCGGUCGAGGUGCGAUCGGAGAGACCGGAUCAAAGGGGGACAGAGGGUUCGAUGGCUUACCAGGUCUCCCUGGAAACCAAGGACAUAAGG